AUUAAAGUUGUUGCGGUUAAAAAGCUCGUAGUUGGACUUUGGGGUCGAGCGUUACAGACCCUCUCGGUUCUGCCGGGGGGAAUCAGUCUGGAUGUUUCUUCCUCUUUCUCGGAACGUUAACAGGGGUUCAUGGUUCGCCAUGUUCUCUUGGUUUCGCAGGAUUUACUUUGAAUAAAUUAGGGUGUUCAAAGCAGGCGCAACUCGCCUUGAAUACAUUAGCAUGGGAUAAUAGAAUAUGACCUUUGGUCUACUUAUUGGUUUCUAAGGCCAAGGUAAUGAUUAAUAGGGAUAGUUGAGGUCGCUCGUAUUCAAUGGUCAGAGGUGAAAUUCUAAGACCCAUUGAGGACGAACAAAUGCGAAGGCAUUCGACAAGGAUGUUUUCAUUAAUCAAGAACGAAAGUUGUGGGAUCGAAGAUGAUUAGAUACCGUCGUAGUCACAACCGUAAACUAUGUCGACUCAGGAUCCGGGGAUGUUACAUGGAUGACUCUCCGGGCACUGUGUGCGAAAGCAUAAGUAUUCUGACUCCGGGGGGAGUAUGGUCGCAAGGCUGAAACUUAAAGGAAUUGACGGAAGGGCACCACCAGGAGUGGAACCUGCGGCUUAAUUUGACCCAACACGGGGAAACUUACCCAGUCCGGACACAACGAGGAUUGACAGAUUGAUAGCUCUUUCUUGAUUUUGUGGAAGUCGGUGCAUGGCCGUUUUUAGUUGGUGGAGUGAUUUGUCUGGUUUAGUCCGAUAACGAACGAGACCAUAAUCUGCUAAAUAGUGUCGUUAACAAGGAGACUUACGGGGCGGUCGGGUUUACUCGGCAGUUUCGUGGGUUUCCACUAAAUUGUUGGCGAAAGAUUUACUCCUUAGAGAGACUCUUGAUGAUGCAAAAAUCAAUGGAAGAAUAUGGCAAAAACAGGUCUGUGAUGCCGCUCGAUGUCUGGGGCUGCACGCGCGUUACACUGAGAUGUUCAACAAGUAUUAUUCAUGACCAGGCCCGAAGGGGUUCAGGUAAUCUCGAAAGCAUUUCGUGAUGGGGAUUGUGCCUUGAAACUAUUGCACAUGAACGAGGAAUUCCUAGUAAGGGUAGGUCAUCAACCUGCCCUGAUUACGUCCCUGCCCUUUGUACACACCGCCCGUCGCUUCUACCGAUCGAAUUGCUCGAUGAGGACUCGGGAUGAGGGGGUAACUCGUAGGCUGAAAGGUCUGCGCGUCCUCUUCAGAACCU
RNAcentral lists this ribosomal RNA (1220 nucleotides) under metagenome. Its description in RNAcentral is "SSU rRNA". It matches the Rfam family "Eukaryotic small subunit ribosomal RNA", at positions 603 to 1756 of the family's 1831-position model. The record is from RNAcentral.